UUGGCGGCGUGCCUAAUACAUGCAAGUCGAGCGAAUCUGAGGGAGCUUGCUCCCAAAGAUUAGCGGCGGACGGGUGAGUAACACGUGGGCAACCUGCCUGUAAGACUGGGAUAACUCCGGGAAACCGGGGCUAAUACCGGAUAAUAUCUAUUUAUACAUAUAAUUAGAUUGAAAGAUGGUUCUGCUAUCACUUACAGAUGGGCCCGCGGCGCAUUAGCUAGUUGGUGAGGUAACGGCUCACCAAGGCGACGAUGCGUAGCCGACCUGAGAGGGUGAUCGGCCACACUGGGACUGAGACACGGCCCAGACUCCUACGGGAGGCAGCAGUAGGGAAUCUUCCGCAAUGGACGAAAGUCUGACGGAGCAACGCCGCGUGAGUGAUGAAGGUUUUCGGAUCGUAAAACUCUGUUGUUAGGGAAGAACAAGUACCGGAGUAACUGCCGGUACCUUGACGGUACCUAACCAGAAAGCCACCGGCUAACUACGUGCCAUCAGCCGCGGUAAUACCUAUGUGGCAAGC
Molecule: ribosomal RNA, 520 nt
Filed under: Firmicutes bacterium M40
Lineage: Bacteria; Bacillati; Bacillota
Description: bacterial SSU rRNA
Rfam family: Bacterial small subunit ribosomal RNA
Source: RNAcentral